UACGGAGGAUCCAAGCGUUAUCCGGAAUUACUGGGCGUAAAGAGUUGCGUAGGUGGCAAAGGGUGUCUGUAGUGAAAGCGUCCCGCUCAACGGGAUAAACAUUAUAGAAACUGCUUGGCUAGAGGACGAGAGAGGUACCUGGAAUUCCCAGUGUAGGAGUGAAAUCCGUAGAUAUUGGGAGGAACACCGAUGGCGUAGGCAGGGUACUGGCUCGUUCCUGACACUAAGGCACGAAAGCGUGGGGAGCAAACGGG
This 254-nucleotide ribosomal RNA is filed under the name uncultured bacterium. RNAcentral's name for it is "partial 16S ribosomal RNA". It matches the Rfam family "Bacterial small subunit ribosomal RNA", at positions 524 to 776 of the family's 1533-position model. The record is from RNAcentral.